GGGUGAGUAAUACCUACGGAAUCUGCCUGAUAGUGGGGGAUAACGUUCGGAAACGGACGCUAAUACCGCAUACGUCCUACGGGAGAAAGCAGGGGACCUUCGGGCCUUGCGCUAUCAGAUGAGCCUAGGUCGGAUUAGCUAGUUGGUGAGGUAAUGGCUCACCAAGGCUACGAUCCGUAACUGGUCUGAGAGGAUGAUCAGUCACACUGGAACUGAGACACGGUCCAGACUCCUACGGGAGGCAGCAGUGGGGAAUAUUGGACAAUGGGCGAAAGCCUGAUCCAGCCAUGCCGCGUGUGUGAAGAAGGUCUUCGGAUUGUAAAGCACUUUAAGUUGGGAGGAAGGGCAGUUACCUAAUACGUGAUUGUCUUGACGUUACCGACAGAAUAAGCACCGGCUAACUCUGUGCCAGCAGCCGCGGUAAUACAGAGGGUGCAAGCGUUAAUCGGAAUUACUGGGCGUAAAGCGCGC
This 471-nucleotide ribosomal RNA is filed under the name Pseudomonas sp. R-35705. RNAcentral's name for it is "bacterial SSU rRNA". It matches the Rfam family "Bacterial small subunit ribosomal RNA", at positions 104 to 570 of the family's 1533-position model. The record is from RNAcentral. Lineage: Bacteria; Pseudomonadati; Pseudomonadota; Gammaproteobacteria; Pseudomonadales; Pseudomonadaceae.